This 527-nucleotide ribosomal RNA is filed under the name bacterium 18GR. Its description in RNAcentral is "bacterial SSU rRNA". It matches the Rfam family "Bacterial small subunit ribosomal RNA", at positions 66 to 601 of the family's 1533-position model. The record is from RNAcentral.
ACGCUGGAAGUCCCAGACUUGCUGGGGUGGAUGAGUGGCGAACGGGUGAGUAACACGUGGGUGAUCUGCCCUGCACUUCGGGAUAAGCCUGGGAAACUGGGUCUAAUACCGGAUAUGACCUUCCCUUUGGUUGGGGUUGGUGGAAAGCCUUGUGCGGUGUGGGAUGAGCCUGCGGCCUAUCAGCUUGUUGGUGGGGUAAUGGCCUACCAAGGCGUCGACGGGUAGCCGGCCUGAGAGGGUGUACGGCCACAUUGGGACUGAGACACGGCCCAGACUCCUACGGGAGGCAGCAGUGGGGAAUAUUGCACAAUGGGCGCAAGCCUGAUGCAGCGACGCCGCGUGGGGGAUGAAGGCCUUCGGGUUGUAAACUCCUUUCGCCAGGGACGAAGCUUUUGUGACGGUACCUGGAGAAGAAGCACCGGCUAACUACGUGCCAGCAGCCGCGGUAAUACGUAGGGUGCGAGCGUUGUCCGGAUUUACUGGGCGUAAAGAGCUCGUAGGUGGUUUGUCGCGUCGUCUGUGAAAUC